Molecule: ribosomal RNA, 459 nt
Filed under: uncultured Nitrospirota bacterium
Lineage: Bacteria; Pseudomonadati; Nitrospirota
Description: bacterial SSU rRNA
Rfam family: Bacterial small subunit ribosomal RNA
Source: RNAcentral
GGUGGGUAGUCCGCACGAGCGUACCCCUGUCUUCAGUUGCCAUCGGGUGCUGCCGGGCACUCUGGUAUCUCUGCCCAGGUCUCACGGGGUCGGCAGGUGGGGCUGCCGUCAAGUCAGCAUGGCCUUUCUGCCUGGGGCUACACACGUGCUACAAUGGCCGGUACAAAGGGUUGCAAUCCCGCAAGGGGGCGCCAAUCCCAAAAAACCGGCCUCAGUUCAGCUUGUGGUCUGCAACCCGACCACAUGAAGGUGGAAUCGCUAGUAAUCGCGGAUCAGCACGCCGCGGUGAAUACGUUCCCGGGCCUUGUACACACCGCCCGUCACACCACGAAAGUCAGCUGUACCUGACGUCGCUGGAGCUAACCCGCAAGGGAGGCAGGUGCCACGGUAUGGUUGGUGAUUGGGGUGAAGUCGUAACAAGGUAGCCGUAGGGGAACCUGCGGCUGGAUCACCUCCUUU